This is a non-coding RNA of Triticum aestivum (bread wheat), 135 nucleotides long. The record is from Rfam. NCBI's taxonomy places the organism in Eukaryota, Viridiplantae, Streptophyta, Magnoliopsida, Poales, Poaceae.
GUAGUAUUCCCUCCAUCCCAAAAUUCUUGUCUUACAUUUGUUUAGAUACGGAUGUAUCUAACACUAAAAUGUAACUAGAUACAUCCGUAUUUAGACAAAUUUAAGACAAGAAUUUUGGGAUGGAGGGAGUACAAA